This 580-nucleotide ribosomal RNA is filed under the name Hypselecara temporalis (emerald cichlid). Its description in RNAcentral is "partial 16S ribosomal RNA". It matches the Rfam family "Bacterial large subunit ribosomal RNA", at positions 1816 to 2597 of the family's 2925-position model. Lineage: Eukaryota; Metazoa; Chordata; Actinopteri; Cichliformes; Cichlidae. The record is from RNAcentral.
CGCCUCUUGGAUACAAAAACAUAAGAGGUCCCGCCUGCCCAGUGACUAUAAGUUUAACGGCCGCGGUAUUUUGACCGUGCAAAGGUAGCGCAAUCACUUGUCCUUUAAAUGAAGACCUGUAUGAAUGGCACCACGAGGGCUCAACUGUCUCCUUUUUCCUGUCAAUGAAAUUGAUCUCCCCGUGCAGAAGCGGGGAUACUUACAUAAGACGAGAAGACCCUAUGGAGCUUUAGGCACUAGACUAGACUAUAUCAAGCACCCUUCUAUAAAAGACAAAACUAACUAGACCCUACUCCCUAUGCCUUUGGUUGGGGCGACCGCGGGGAAAGGAAAAACCCCCAUGUGGACUGAGAGCACACUUUACUCCCACAACCUAGGGCCACAGCCCUAAGAAACAGAACUUCUGACCAACAAAUGAUCCGGUAAAACCGAUCAACGGACCGAGUUACCCUAGGGAUAACAGCGCAAUCCCCUUUUAGAGCCCAUAUCGACAAGGGGGUUUACGACCUCGAUGUUGGAUCAGGACAUCCUACUGGUGCAGCCGCUAUUAAGGGUUCGUUUGUUCAACGAUUAAAGUCCU